Molecule: non-coding RNA, 426 nt
Organism: Sebastes umbrosus (honeycomb rockfish)
Lineage: Eukaryota; Metazoa; Chordata; Actinopteri; Perciformes; Sebastidae
Source: the annotation of a RefSeq genome assembly
AGAGAAGCUCCCAUCACUUCAACACCAACCAUGUUGUCUGUAGCUCUGCUGCUGCUGCUGCUGCUGGCUGCUGGAUCCUGUGUGAAGGGUGAACAGUUGACUCAGCCAGCCUCUGUGACUGUGCAGCCAGGUCAACGUCUGACCAUCACCUGUCAGGUCUCUUAUUCUCUUGGCAGCUACCGCACAGCUUGGAUCAGACAGCCUGCAGGGAAAGGACUGGAGUGGAUUAGUAGGGACGAAGAUGUCAAAGAUUCACUGAAGAACAAGUUCAGUAUCAGUUUAGACUCUUCCAGCAACACAGUGACUCUAAACGGACAGAACGUGCAGCCUGAAGACUCUGCUGUGUAUUACUGUGCCAGACAGCCACAACAACACAAACCAUCAGUAGACCUGAACAAAAACCCCUCAGUGCCUGAACACUUGUAA